RNAcentral lists this ribosomal RNA (253 nucleotides) under uncultured bacterium. RNAcentral's name for it is "partial 16S ribosomal RNA". It matches the Rfam family "Bacterial small subunit ribosomal RNA", at positions 524 to 776 of the family's 1533-position model. The record is from RNAcentral.
UACAGAGGGGGCAAGCGUUGUUCGGAAUUACUGGGCGUAAAGGGCGCGUAGGCGGCCCGCUAAGUCGAGCGUGAAAUCCCCGAGCUCAACUCGGGAACUGCGUCCGAUACUGGCGGGCUUGAAUCCGGGAGAGGGAUGCGGAAUUCCAGGUGUAGCGGUGAAAUGCGUAGAUAUCUGGAGGAACACCGGUGGCGAAGGCGGCAUCCUGGACCGGCAUUGACGCCGAGGCGCGAAAGCUAGGGGAGCAAACGGG